RNAcentral lists this ribosomal RNA (433 nucleotides) under uncultured bacterium. Its description in RNAcentral is "partial 16S ribosomal RNA". It matches the Rfam family "Bacterial small subunit ribosomal RNA", at positions 29 to 507 of the family's 1533-position model. The record is from RNAcentral.
AGCGAACGCUGGCGGCAGGCCUAACACAUGCAAGUCGAACGAACUCUUCGGAGUUAGUGGCGGACGGGUGAGUAACACGUGGGAACGUGCCUUUUGGUUCGGAAUAACUCAGGGAAACUUGUGCUAAUACCGAAUGUGCCCUUCGGGGGAAAGAUUUAUCGCCAUUAGAGCGGCCCGCGUCUGAUUAGCUAGUUGGUGAGGUAACGGCUCACCAAGGCGACGAUCAGUAGCUGGUCUGAGAGGAUGACCAGCCACACUGGGACUGAGACACGGCCCAGACUCCUACGGGAGGCAGCAGUGGGGAAUCUUGCGCAAUGGGCGAAGGCCUGACGCAGCCAUGCCGCGUGAAUGAUGAAGAUCUUAGGAUUGUAAAAUUCUUUCACCGGGGACGAUAAUGACGGUACCCGGAGAAGAAGCCCCGGCUAACUUCGUG